This 468-nucleotide ribosomal RNA is filed under the name uncultured bacterium. RNAcentral describes it as "partial 16S ribosomal RNA". It matches the Rfam family "Bacterial small subunit ribosomal RNA", at positions 28 to 507 of the family's 1533-position model. The record is from RNAcentral.
GACGAACGCUGGCGGCGUGCUUAACACAUGCAAGUCGAACGGAAAGGCCCUGCUUUUGUGGGGUGCUCGAGUGGAGAACGGGUGAGUAACACGUGAGUAACCUGCCCUUGACUUUGGGAUAACUUCAGGAAACUGGGGCUAAUACCGGAUAGGAGCUCCUGCUGCAUGGUGGGGGUUGGAAAGUUUCGGCGGUUGGGGAUGGACUCGCGGCUUAUCAGCUUGUUGGUGGGGUAGUGGCUUACCAAGGCUUUGACGGGUAGCCGGCCUGAGAGGGUGACCGGCCACAUUGGUACUGAGAUACGGCCCAGACUCCUACGGGGGGCAGCAGGGGGGAGUAUUGCACAAUGGGCGGAAGCCUGAUGCGGCAACGCCGCGUGCGGGAUGACGGCCUUCGGGGUGUAAACCGCUUUCGCCUGUGACGAAGCGUGAGUGACGGUAAUGGGUAAAGAAGCACCGGCUAACUACGUG